This 406-nucleotide ribosomal RNA is filed under the name uncultured bacterium. RNAcentral describes it as "partial 16S ribosomal RNA". It matches the Rfam family "Bacterial small subunit ribosomal RNA", at positions 30 to 526 of the family's 1533-position model. The record is from RNAcentral.
AUUGAACGCUGGCGGCAUGCUUUAGACAUGCAAGUCGAACGAGCGGCGGACGGGUGAGUAAUGCCUAGGAAACUUCCUGCUGGAGGGGUAUAACUACUGGAAACGGUGGCUAAUACCGCAUACGAUCAGCUGCGCCCAGUUGGUAUUAUCUAGUAGGUGGGGUAAUGGCUCACCUAGGCGACGAUCCGUAACUGGUCUGAGAGGAUGACCAGUCACACGUGAACUGAGACACGGUCCAGAUCCCUACGGGAGGCAGCAGUGGGGAAUAUUGGACAAUGGGCGAAAGCCUGAUGCAGCCAUGCCGCGUGUGUGAAGAAGGCCUUCGGGUUGUAAAGCACUUUAAGCUGGGAGGCGUUACUCACAGAAGAAGCACCGGCUAACUUCGUGCCAGCAGCCGCGGUAAUAC